RNAcentral lists this ribosomal RNA (301 nucleotides) under uncultured bacterium. RNAcentral describes it as "partial 16S ribosomal RNA". It matches the Rfam family "Bacterial small subunit ribosomal RNA", at positions 509 to 807 of the family's 1533-position model. The record is from RNAcentral.
CAGCCGCCGCGGUAAUACAGAGGGUGCGAGCGUUAAUCGGAUUUACUGGGCGUAAAGCGUGCGUAGGCGGCUUCUUAAGUCGGAUGUGAAAUCCCUGAGCUUAACUUAGGAAUUGUAUUCGAUACUGGGAAGCUAGAGUAUGGGAGAGGAUGGUAGAAUUCCAGGUGUAGCGGUGAAAUGCGUAGAGAUCUGGAGGAAUACCGAUGGCGAAGGCAGCCAUCUGGCCUAAUACUGACGCUGAGGUACGAAAGCAUGGGGAGCAAACAGGAUUAGAUACCCCAGUAGUCCCUGUCUCUUAUAC